RNAcentral lists this long non-coding RNA (200 nucleotides) under Physcomitrium patens. RNAcentral describes it as "long non-coding RNA (PPAT_LNC002166)". Lineage: Eukaryota; Viridiplantae; Streptophyta; Bryopsida; Funariales; Funariaceae. The record is from RNAcentral.
AUUUUCAAUCUGACUAUCUGAUUCUUAUAAAACUUCUACCACUAGUAUCUUUACAAGUCUUCUAAAUGUUCAAGAAGUUCAAUCCAAUCCAACUUACAGAUUACAAGAAAAUGUCCUAAAUCCACACUGAUGUCCCUUGACCGCUGCCUAGAAAUUGAUGACGAACUGUAACUUAUAAUUUUUCCUUCUCUAAUUGUUAG